Molecule: ribosomal RNA, 232 nt
Filed under: uncultured bacterium
Lineage: Bacteria
Description: partial 16S ribosomal RNA
Rfam family: Bacterial small subunit ribosomal RNA
Source: RNAcentral
GAUCAUGGCUCAGGGUGAACGCUAGCUACAGGCUUAACACAUGCAAGUCGAGGGGAAACGACAUCGAAAGCUUGCUUUUGAUGGGCGUCGACUGGCGCACGGGUGAGUAACGCGUAUCCAACCUGCCCAUCACCUGGGAAUAACCUUGCGAAAGUAAGACUAAUGCCCAAUGACAUCCCACGAAGGCAUCCGAAUGGGAUUAAAGAUUUAUCGGUGAUGGAUGGGGAUGCGU